RNAcentral lists this ribosomal RNA (486 nucleotides) under uncultured bacterium. RNAcentral describes it as "partial 16S ribosomal RNA". It matches the Rfam family "Bacterial small subunit ribosomal RNA", at positions 28 to 507 of the family's 1533-position model. The record is from RNAcentral.
GACGAACGCUGGCGGUGUGCUUAACACAUGCAAGUCGAACGCUGAAGACCUGGCUUUUGUUGGGUUGGAUGAGUGGCGAACGGGUGAGUAACACGUGAGUAACCUGCCCUCUUCUUUGGGAUAACGCCCGGAAACGGGUGCUAAUACUGGAUAUUCACUGGCCUUCGCAUGGGGGUUGGUGGAAAGGUUUGUUCUGGUGGGGGAUGGGCUCGCGGCCUAUCAGCUUGUUGGUGGGGUGAUGGCCUACCAAGGCUUUGACGGGUAGCCGGCCUGAGAGGGUGACCGGUCACAUUGGGACUGAGAUACGGCCCAGACUCCUACGGGAGGCAGCAGUGGGGAAUAUUGCACAAUGGGCGAAAGCCUGAUGCAGCGACGCCGCGUGAGGGAUGGAGGCCUUCGGGUUGUAAACCUCUUUCGCUCAUGGUCAAGCCGCAACUGUGGGUUGUGGUGAGGGUAGUGGGUAAAGAAGCGCCGGCUAACUACGUG